AGUAACGCGUGAGGAACCUGCCUCAAAGAGGGGGACAACAGUGGAAACGACUGCUAAUACCGCAUAAGCCCACGGCUCGGCAUCGAGCAGAGGGAAAAGGAGCAAUCCGCUUUGAGAUGGCCUCGCGUCCGAUUAGCUAGUUGGUGAGGUAAUGGCCCACCAAGGCGACGAUCGGUAGCCGGACUGAGAGGUUGAACGGCCACAUUGGGACUGAGACACGGCCCAG
Molecule: ribosomal RNA, 226 nt
Filed under: uncultured bacterium
Lineage: Bacteria
Description: partial 16S ribosomal RNA
Rfam family: Bacterial small subunit ribosomal RNA
Source: RNAcentral